This 374-nucleotide ribosomal RNA is filed under the name uncultured organism. RNAcentral describes it as "partial 16S ribosomal RNA". It matches the Rfam family "Bacterial small subunit ribosomal RNA", at positions 527 to 896 of the family's 1533-position model. The record is from RNAcentral.
GUAGGUGGCAAGCGUUGUCCGGAAUUAUUGGGGCGUAAAGCGCGCGCAGGCGGUUCUUUAAGUCUGAUGUGAAAGCCCACGGGCUCAACUGUGGAGGGUCAUUGGAAACUGGAGAACUUGAGUACAGAAGAGGAAAGCGGAAUUCCACGUGUAGCGGUGAAAUGCGUAGAGAUGUGGAGGAACACCAGUGGCGAAGGCGGCUUUCUGGUCUGUAACUGACGCUGAGGCGCGAAAGCGUGGGGAGCAAACAGGAUUAGAUACCCUGGUAGUCCACGCCGUAAACGAUGAGUGCUAAGUGUUAGGGGGUUUCCGCCCCUUAGUGCUGCAGCUAACGCAUUAAGCACUCCGCCUGGGGAGUACGGCCGCAAAGGCUG